This 468-nucleotide ribosomal RNA is filed under the name uncultured bacterium. Its description in RNAcentral is "partial 16S ribosomal RNA". It matches the Rfam family "Bacterial small subunit ribosomal RNA", at positions 28 to 507 of the family's 1533-position model. The record is from RNAcentral.
GAUGAACGCUGGCGGCGUGCUUAACACAUGCAAGUCGAACGGAAAGGCCGAAGCUUGCUUCGGUACUCGAGUGGCGAACGGGUGAGUAACACGUGGGUGAUCUGCCCUGUACUUCGGGAUAAGCUUGGGAAACUGGGUCUAAUACCGGAUAUGACGAUCUCUUGGAUGGGGUUGUGGAAAGCUUUUGCGGUAUGGGAUGAGCUCGCGGCCUAUCAGCUUGUUGGUGAGAUAAUGGCCUACCAAGGCGUCGACGGGUAGCCGGCCUGAGAGGGUGUACGGCCACAUUGGGACUGAGAUACGGCCCAGACUCCUACGGGAGGCAGCAGUGGGGAAUAUUGCACAAUGGGCGCAAGCCUGAUGCAGCGACGCCGCGUGGGGGAUGACGGCCUUCGGGUUGUAAACUCCUUUCGCAAUCGACGAAGCCUUUUGGUGACGGUAGGUCGAGAAGAAGCACCGGCUAACUACGUG